GUGUCAGCAGCCGCGGUAAUACGGAGGGGGCUAGCGUUGUUCGGAAUUACUGGGCGUAAAGCGCGCGUAGGCGGACUGGAAAGUUGGGGGUGAAAUCCCGGGGCUCAACCUCGGAACUGCCUUCAAAACUAUCAGUCUGGAGUUCGAGAGAGGUGAGUGGAAUUCCGAGUGUAGAGGUGAAAUUCGUAGAUAUUCGGAGGAACACCAGUGGCGAAGGCGGCUCACUGGCUCGAUGCUGACGCUGAGGUGCGAAAGCGUGGGGAGUAAACAGGAUUAGAUACCCUGGUAGUCCACGUUUUAAACGAUGAAUGCCAGUCGUCGGCAAGCAUGCUUGUCGGUGACACACCUAACGGAUUAAGCAUUCCGCCUGGGGAGUACGGUCGCAAGAUUAAAACUUAAAGAAAUUGACGG
This 411-nucleotide ribosomal RNA is filed under the name uncultured bacterium. RNAcentral describes it as "bacterial SSU rRNA". It matches the Rfam family "Bacterial small subunit ribosomal RNA", at positions 505 to 916 of the family's 1533-position model. The record is from RNAcentral.